This 75-nucleotide transfer RNA is filed under the name Endomicrobium sp. RNAcentral's name for it is "tRNA-Asp". It matches the Rfam family "tRNA". Rfam says of the family: Transfer RNA (tRNA) molecules are approximately 80 nucleotides in length. Their secondary structure includes four short double-helical elements and three loops (D, anti-codon, and T loops). The record is from RNAcentral. Lineage: Bacteria; Pseudomonadati; Elusimicrobiota; Endomicrobiia; Endomicrobiales; Endomicrobiaceae.
GGGGAUGUAGUGUAGUUUGGUUAACACGUUGCCCUGUCAAGGCAGAGACCACGGGUUCAAAUCCCGUCAUCCCCG